Molecule: transfer RNA, 74 nt
Filed under: Caudoviricetes sp.
Lineage: Duplodnaviria; Heunggongvirae; Uroviricota; Caudoviricetes
Description: tRNA-Lys
Rfam family: tRNA
About the family: Transfer RNA (tRNA) molecules are approximately 80 nucleotides in length. Their secondary structure includes four short double-helical elements and three loops (D, anti-codon, and T loops).
Source: RNAcentral
GACCUCGUAGCUCAGCUGGCUAGAGCACCAAACUUUUAAUUUGGGGGUCCUGCGUUCGAGUCGCAGCGGGGUCA